Mycobacterium sp. 852002-51759_SCH5129042 is the source of this 61-nucleotide non-coding RNA. Lineage: Bacteria; Bacillati; Actinomycetota; Actinomycetes; Mycobacteriales; Mycobacteriaceae. The record is from Rfam.
GUCGGUCUUCGGUAGUGGCCUUUCGGCGAGAGUUGCCGGCGGGCUUCGAUCGAUGACCGCC